CGAGCGAGCAAGUUUUCGGAUGUUGCUGAGCGGCGGACGGGUGAGUAACGCGUGGGUACCUGCCUCAUACAGGGGGAUAACAGUUAGAAAUGGCUGCUAAUACCGCAUAAGGCUGCAUGGCAAAAACUCCGGUGGUAUGAGAUGGACCCGCGUCUGAUUAGCCAGUUGGUGAGGUAACGGCCCACCAAGGCGACGAUCAGUAGCCGACCUGAGAGGGUGACCGGCCACAUUGGGACUGAGACACGGCCCAAACUCCUACGGGAGGCAGCAGUGGGGAAUAUUGCACAAUGGGGGAAACCCUGAUGCAGCGACGCCGCGUGAGGAAGAAGUAUUUCGGUAUGUAAACUCUAUCAGCAGGGAAGAAAAAGACGGUACCUGACUAAGAAGCCCCGGCUAACUACGUGCCAGCAGCCGCGGUAAUACGUAGGGGGCAAGCGUUAUCCGGAUUUACUGGGUGUAAAGGGAGCGUAGACGGCGAUGCAAGUCUGAAGUGAAAGCCCAGGGCUCAACCUGGGACUGCUUUGGAAACUGCGUUGCUAGAGUGCUGGAGAGGUAAGUGGAAUUCCUAGUGUAGCGGUGAAAUGCGUAGAUAUUAGGAGGAACACCAGUGGCGAAGGCGGCUUACUGGACAGUAACUGACGUUGAGGCUCGAAAGCGUGGGGAGCAAACAGGAUUAGAUACCCUGGUAGUCCACGCGGUAAACGAUGAAUACUAGGUG
This 718-nucleotide ribosomal RNA is filed under the name uncultured bacterium. RNAcentral describes it as "bacterial SSU rRNA". It matches the Rfam family "Bacterial small subunit ribosomal RNA", at positions 63 to 822 of the family's 1533-position model. The record is from RNAcentral.